ACGGAAGCAGCAGUGGGGAAUAUUGCACAAUGGGGGAAACCCUGAUGCAGCGACGCCGCGUGAGUGAAGAAGUAUUUCGGUAUGUAAAGCUCUAUCAGCAAGGAAGAAAAUGACGGUACUUGACUAAGAAGCCCCGGCUAACUACGUGCCAGCAGCCGCGGUAAUACGUAGGGGGCAAGCGUUAUCCGGAUUUACUGGGUGUAAAGGGAGCGUAGACGGCAUAGCAAGUCUGAAGUGAAAUGCGGGGGCUCAACCCCUGAACUGCUUUGGAAACUGUUAAGCUAGAGUGCAGGAGAGGUAAGUGGAAUUCCUAGUGUAGCGGUGAAAUGCGUAGAUAUUAGGAGGAACACCAGUGGCGAAGGCGGCUUACUGGACUGUAACUGACGUUGAGGCUCGAAAGCGUGGGGAGCAAACAGGAUUAGAUACCCUGGUA
Molecule: ribosomal RNA, 433 nt
Filed under: uncultured Lachnospiraceae bacterium
Lineage: Bacteria; Bacillati; Bacillota; Clostridia; Lachnospirales; Lachnospiraceae
Description: partial 16S ribosomal RNA
Rfam family: Bacterial small subunit ribosomal RNA
Source: RNAcentral